CUGAUUAUGCAUGAACCAAUAGUUAGGGUUAGGGUUAGGCUUUUACAAAGGAUUGGCUUUUAAGGUGCCUGCUGUCGCAUCCUGGGAAAGAGGAAUUUUUCAAGUGACUUUCAACAAAGCUGAUUGUAAAUCAAAAGAGAAUACCUUUACAAUCAACAGCCAGGCUGAAAUAGUACAAACACCAGGCAAGAUAUAAGGACCAAGCACAAUAUUAACAACCCAAAAAUGACAUUGACCGUAAAAAGAAGAGAUUUUAACCUGGUGGACAGGUGCUUUUAUUCUUAUGGAAAGUUUAUGGCUUCCUUAGGGUAAGGUUUCAUGGCGAGUUGUUAUUUUCCAUGCAAACAGGUUCUGAUAAAAAAACAUAAAAUCAUUGGAUUGAUUUUUA
This is a long non-coding RNA of Cryptomeria japonica (Japanese cedar), 388 nucleotides long. RefSeq lists it as uncharacterized. The transcript is spliced from 2 exons. NCBI's taxonomy places the organism in Eukaryota, Viridiplantae, Streptophyta, Pinopsida, Cupressales, Cupressaceae. The record is from RefSeq and is a predicted model, not a curated record.